GCGGACGUGGCGAAAUUGGUAGACGCACUGGUCUUAGAAGCCAGCGCCGAGAGGCAUGUGAGUUCGAGUCUCACCGUCCGCACCA
Molecule: transfer RNA, 85 nt
Filed under: bacterium
Lineage: Bacteria
Also listed under: 3 other names
Description: tRNA-Leu
Rfam family: tRNA
About the family: Transfer RNA (tRNA) molecules are approximately 80 nucleotides in length.
Source: RNAcentral